GCGAAGCAGUGGACGGACCAAUGAUUGAGGAAUAUGCAUUUUCCUUCAGCUAUUCCGACUCUGACAACCAAGAGGUUUCAAUGGACAUCAACCGAACUGGAAACAAAAAAAACCGGGGGGCCUUCAAGUGUAAUUCGACUACAGAAAUUACUCCCCAACAGAUGAGGAGUUCUGCGUGUAAAAUGAUCCGUACUCUGGUUCAGUUGAUGAGAACUCUGGAGAAAAUGCCAGAUGAGCGUACCAUCCUGAUGAAGCUCCUCUACUACGAUGAUGUGACGCCUGCUGAUUAUGAGCCUCCUUUCUUCCGGGACUGCACAGGUGAAGAAGCUUAUCAUCCAUGGGAGAAAAAUCCGUUGAAAAUGGAGGUUGGGAAUGUAAACAGCAAGCACUUCGUAUUAGCUCUUAAGGUGAAGAGUGUACUCGACCCUUGUGAAGAUGAUAACGAAGGAAUCCCGGACGAUGUGAGCAAUGGCGAUGAUUCAAUGCAACAGAAUGAGUAUUAUGAUACUGACAGUGAGGUUGAUCUUACUCAAGG
RNAcentral lists this small RNA (535 nucleotides) under Vigna angularis var. angularis. RNAcentral describes it as "Non-protein coding transcript". The record is from RNAcentral. Lineage: Eukaryota; Viridiplantae; Streptophyta; Magnoliopsida; Fabales; Fabaceae.